Molecule: ribosomal RNA, 764 nt
Filed under: uncultured bacterium
Lineage: Bacteria
Description: bacterial SSU rRNA
Rfam family: Bacterial small subunit ribosomal RNA
Source: RNAcentral
GAUAACGUUCGGAAACGGACGCUAAUACCGCAUACGUCCUACGGGAGAAAGCAGGGGACCUUCGGGCCUUGCGCUAUCAGAUGAGCCUAGGUCGGAUUAGCUAGUUGGUGGGGUAAUGGCUCACCAAGGCGACGAUCCGUAACCGGUCUGAGAGGAUGAUCAGUCGCACUGGAACUGAGACACGGUCCAGACUCCUACGGGAGGCAGCAGUGGGGAAUAUUGGACAAUGGGCGAAAGCCUGAUCCAGCCAUGCCGCGUGUGUGAAGAAGGUCUUCGGAUUGUAAAGCACUUUAAGUUGGGAGGAAGGGCAUUAACCUAAUACGUUAGUGUUUUGACGUUACCGACAGAAUAAGCACCGGCUAACUCUGUGCCAGCAGCCGCGGUAAUACAGAGGGUGCAAGCGUUAAUCGGAAUUACUGGGCGUAAAGCGCGCGUAGGUGGUUUGUUAAGUUGGAUGUGAAAUCCCCGGGCUCAACCUGGGAACUGCAUUCAAAACUGACUGACUAGAGUAUGGUAGAGGGUGGUGGAAUUUCCUGUGUAGCGGUGAAAUGCGUAGAUAUAGGAAGGAACACCAGUGGCGAAGGCGACCACCUGGACUGAUACUGACACUGAGGUGCGAAAGCGUGGGGAGCAACAGGAUUAGAUACCCUGGUAGUCCACGCCGUAAACGAUGUCAACUAGCCGUUGGGAGCCUUGAGCUCUUAGUGGCGCAGCUAACGCAUUAAGUUGACCGCCUGGGGAGUACGGCCGCAAGGUUAAAACUC